AUACGGAAGGUCCGGGCGUUAUCCGGAUUUAUUGGGUUUAAAGGGAGCGCAGGCGGAGAUGCAAGCGUGACGUCAAAUUUCGGGGCUCAACCCCGUCUCGCGUCGCGAACUGCGUCCCUUGGUUGCGGGAAGGGGAGGCGGAACUCGUGGUGUAGCGGUGAAAUGCAUAGAUAUCACGAAGAACUCCGAUCGCGAAGGCAGCCUUCCGGCCCGUCAACGACGCUCAUGCUCGAAGGUGCGGGUAUCAAACAGGAUUAGAUACCCUGGUAGUCCGUACAGUAAACGAUGGACACCCGCGGUUUGGCCUGUAUGGCUGAGCCGCCAAGCGAAAGCGUUAAGUGUCCCACCUGGGGAGUACGCCGGCAACGGUGAAACUCAAAUGAAUUGACGGGG
This 393-nucleotide ribosomal RNA is filed under the name uncultured bacterium. RNAcentral's name for it is "partial 16S ribosomal RNA". It matches the Rfam family "Bacterial small subunit ribosomal RNA", at positions 523 to 918 of the family's 1533-position model. The record is from RNAcentral.